GCCGGGUGUGGUGGCACAUGCCUGUAAUCCCAGAAGCUUGGGAGGCUGAGGCAGGAGGCUCGUGAGUUCAAAGUCAGUGUUACCAACUUAGCGAGACUCUGUUUCUA
Molecule: small RNA, 107 nt
Filed under: Marmota monax (woodchuck)
Lineage: Eukaryota; Metazoa; Chordata; Mammalia; Rodentia; Sciuridae
Source: RNAcentral